Molecule: ribosomal RNA, 589 nt
Filed under: Opecoelidae sp. F JB-2022
Lineage: Eukaryota; Metazoa; Platyhelminthes; Trematoda; Plagiorchiida; Opecoelidae
Description: partial large subunit ribosomal RNA
Source: RNAcentral
CUCUGAGAGAGAGUAAACAGUGCGUGAAGCCGUUCAGAGGUAAACGGGUGGAGUUGAACUGUGAGUUCCGAGGGUUCAGUUGGUGAUUUUGAUUGGGCUUGGCCAUGUUGGUUGGGCUCUGGGGUCUGCGUAGCGGCAGGUUCCUGCCUUCGGGCGGGGAUGCGCGAUGCACUCGUUGAGUGUUGUGCGCCCUGGAUGUCCCGGGCUAAGUCGCCAGUGCACUCCCUCGGGACGGUCACCACGACCGGCACUGCCGUCUGUCUGUUGCGGUCAAACCGCGCAUGCUUGGUCCUCGUGGCUUUGUGUGCUCGGGAUGGCAGGUAUCCUGUUGGCUUGCUCGCGGGCCUUCGGGUGAAAUCAGCUGGCUGCAAUUGGAUUGUGCGGUGUGCCGGGGACGGCGGCUUGCGGUGUGUGCGUGCGUACCAGUCUGGUGGCGUGUCCGUGUCAGGUUGCUCAGUUGCUCACCUAGUGGGCCAGGCGGCGACUGGGACGCGUUCGCUAGGCGGUUGCGUGUGAGACACUGUUCAUGGGCCUAUAGUCUGUGGUGUUGCGGUAGACGAUCCACCCGACCCGUCUUGAAACACGGACC